Long non-coding RNA from Papaver somniferum (opium poppy), 2235 nucleotides. RefSeq lists it as uncharacterized. The record is from RefSeq and is a predicted model, not a curated record. The transcript is spliced from 9 exons. NCBI's taxonomy places the organism in Eukaryota, Viridiplantae, Streptophyta, Magnoliopsida, Ranunculales, Papaveraceae.
ACCAAACAGGAGGAUACACGUAUCAAUUGAUUAUUCUUAUUCCCAGCAUAUUUUCUUACUAAUCACAUAAAUGUAGGUAGACGCUUCUGAUUCCGUAUCCUUCCGAGUCCAGACUCUAGAGAGAAAGAAAAAGUGGAACUCGAUGGUUUCUAUAAGUAAGGAUUAAUAGUCCAAUCUCAUUAACUCAUUUUACAAAUCUUUCCAAUCUCAUUUGUGCGAGAACCUAUGGGUUCCAGUACUGAGAGCUUUAAGUUUAACAAAAAAAUCGUUGUUCAAAUGUGGGAGAAAUCAUACGGACGGCUAGACCUAAUAACGUUCCCCAAAUUUGCGACGAUGAUUUGUUCCAGAAGAUGAAGGUUUAAAACAAGCUGAGCUCAUGUUUGGUGUCGAUUUCACAAAAUCCAACGAGCAAACAGGUCGAAUAUCAUUCAAGGGCAAGAGCUUGCAUCUAAAUAGAGAAGGCAUCCUAAACCCUUACCAACACAUGAUGACUGUUUUUGCCAGAAUUUUCCCAUUUCUUCUGGAUAAGAAUUUGUUACAGAUUUGGAGAUGCAACAACACGGGAUGAUGGUGUCCUCAGCUUUAAUCCCGCCAACAACCCCUGUGCUGGAAUUGUUAGAUAUUUUCAAUAUUGUUUGCCACUACGCACAGUUUACGGUGAUCGACCUGGGGUUACUUUGGAAAAUUUACGGGCAACGCUAGAAAUUUUUUCUGGUUUUACUUUGGAAAACCUAGAAGUUUCCUUUCAAACUUGAACAGACUCGUCUCUUCCCAUAAGUCAUCAUUAAUGGCUUUUGGAAGCGUCUGUUGGUGAUGAAACGACAUAACCAACAUGCAUGAAUAUCACUAUAAGUAGCGAAGACUUUCUCCCAUUCUUCACAAUCAAUUCAACUUGUUUUCUCUCUUUCUAAAGCAUCAUCAGAAACAUCUCUCGUGUGUUCUUGGUUGGGUCAAGGGGUGCAACCCUUGAAUCCAAUUUCUCUGUUGCAGGGCUUUCAUUGUAUCCUGAAGGCAUUGUUUCACAUACCUGUUGCAAUCGCAAAUUGAUAUUGGGAGGAUAGAAAUAAUCGUCUAAAAGAAAUCUAUUCGAGCCUUGAAAGUCAGGAAUACAACAAUUUCUUUUCUGUUUAUUUCAUCCUCUAUUUGAACCAUUUUUCAACAGGAAUUGAUGAAGCGCUAGCUCAAUAUGUGAAGAUAGUGCCUGGUCUAUAUCUCGCAGAACCAAAAUCCUUUGCUCCUAUCAUUAACAUGGCUAUCUCAACUGUAAAUCAAAACCAGGGCAAGCAGCAUGUUCUAGUGAUAAUUUCUAAUGGGCCGGUGCACAGAGGUAGAUAUACUGACCUAGGUCAGCUAAGCUGCCAGGAGCAGAAGACCAUAAAUGCAAUUGAAAAUGCAAGGGAUUACUCAUUGUCAAUCAUAUUGAUUGCAGUCGGAGAUAACAGUGGGGACAUGAUGAGGUUCUUCAAGGAUAAUAUAUCUCCUCGUGCCUUCGAAAAUUUCCAAGUCGUGAACUUCACCAAUAUCAUGUCACAAGAGGUGCCUGAGACCAGAAAAGAUAUGGAUUUUGCUCUUGCACUCAUGAAAAAACUCCGUUUCCCGUGACGGUGAAUCCUAUCUAACUGUUGCGGUGAAUUCCCUGCCUUUUUGGCAUAAAUACAUGUUUAUAGUCUUGACCAUCAACUGCUACGAAUUCCUGUAUCCCGUGCUCAAGCAGUUUAAUGGAAAACCCGUCUGAAGAAAUGAAACCUCAUAUGGUUAUUCUGCACAACCUUCUGGAACAGAAGAAACACUGGGACACAUGAUCAGCAACACUGGUUUAGACAGAGCUCCCAUUCUAAUAACACUCGUUGCAGUCUAAACCAUUUCAUAUCUACUCAGUUCGCCCUUUAAACUUACGACAGCAUAUGUGGAACUGACUGAUUAUUAUGAUUGACGUAAAUGUGGUAUGAAAUGAUUUCAAUGGAAAGCAAGUUAUUCUGGACCCUGUGUCUCUAGCAGUGCUCCCUCCCUUCUGAGCUGCAGAUACAGUAUCUAAUUUUGAUCGAUUUAUAAAGAGCAUAUAUCUCAUGAUAGUGGAUCAGGAUGAGCCAGGGUCUUCUGCCCCCUCCUCAUUGCAGGAUCAGAUUAGUUCCUUACUAAGCUGUUUCUCUUCAAUCUAUUUUUACUUUCUUAAACUCCUCACAUCUUUAACCUUUUUCUAAUUAAGUUUUAUACUCCUAGGGAGUACUUGUUUUG